Molecule: long non-coding RNA, 749 nt
Organism: Magallana angulata
Lineage: Eukaryota; Metazoa; Mollusca; Bivalvia; Ostreida; Ostreidae
Exons: 2
Source: RefSeq, a predicted model, not a curated record
CAUAUAUGACGUUACUGGACUCUAACCAUCUCUGUACUUCUCUGUCAUUUUGAGUCAUUUUACAUUCCACAACCUCUGGCCAUUUCUUGCUUUUCUUUCUCAACUUCUAAGUUAGGCUUCUUUACAUGUAUGUUUUAAUGACAAAAUCUGUCCAACGAUCUACUAUUCAUCUGUCUGUCUGUUAUUAUUUUAAUUAUGUAUGAUUGAUAAUAUAUGAUUAUUAUGAAUGCAGCAUCCUUGGAGAAAGGGUAUCUAACUUUAUUCAUUGAAUGGUAUACUUAUUUCUGAUGUCAGAAAUAUAAUAAAAAUAGAGUUGAGUGUUUUAAAAAAAUUUCCCCAAAACCACCAGUAUGUUGCAACUUAAUUAACAUUCUCAAAAAUAUGAUGUAAUUUUGUGAAAACAUGACUUCAUAAGAUCAAAAUUGGAAAUAAAGGGUAUUUAAGUUCAUUGCUGAACCAGAGCAGUUUUAACAAACACUUAGACUUUCGUUAAUCUGCGACAAACUCGGAUUUGAUGAAGGUUGGGUCUACUCAUGGUUAACUGUCCAGUGAUUGGCUAAUCGAUAUGAAUACAUUAAAUGCAAUGACACUUGUUUGACUAUAUCUAGGGAUGUAUUUGAAACAGCAUCAAUUUCACACAACAGAGCAGCAGAGUUCUUGAAAUCUUUCGGUUCUGUCAGCAAGACCUAUAAAAAUAAACAAGGACUGAUGACUUGAGAUUGCCUGUCAGUCCAAAUAAACAAAACAAC